Molecule: transfer RNA, 85 nt
Filed under: Felis catus (domestic cat)
Lineage: Eukaryota; Metazoa; Chordata; Mammalia; Carnivora; Felidae
Also listed under: 2 other names
Rfam family: tRNA
About the family: Transfer RNA (tRNA) molecules are approximately 80 nucleotides in length. Their secondary structure includes four short double-helical elements and three loops (D, anti-codon, and T loops).
Source: Rfam by way of RNAcentral
GCCUGGGUGGCUCAGUCGGUUAAGCGUCUGACUUCGGCUCAGGUCGUGAUCUCACAGUUCGUGAGUUCGAGCCCCACGUCAGGCU